Schistocerca americana (American grasshopper) is the source of this 4628-nucleotide RNA transcript. It is a transcript of the gene named transmembrane protein 237-like, with no coding region annotated. Lineage: Eukaryota; Metazoa; Arthropoda; Insecta; Orthoptera; Acrididae. The transcript is spliced from 7 exons. The record is from RefSeq and is a predicted model, not a curated record.
GUUCUGCCAGAAUCGACUUCGGCUUUGCACGGUGUUGACUGUUGAGUGUUUGUAAAUUCCCGGCUGUCAACUGAAGCUGUGUUGAAUAGAAAUGAACUCAGAUAACGAAGAAUCAGUUGAAGGAGAGAAGAGGACAGAAAAUAAACGGAAAAGGCGUAGAAAGAAAGAGAAAGCAGCAGAUACUGUUGUGACAGCGGCACUUAAACAAUUAAAUGCCGAUGAAAUCGAAACGGUGACAGAGGACCGUGUCGAUGGCGUGGAGCAUAGUGUAACAACACAACCAGUUUUCAGAAGUUACCCAUCUGAUAUGGUUUAUGUUGAAAGAAAGAGCGGUUUUUUACCAGCCCCGAGAGAAAUAGUUUUAUCACGCACAAGUAAAAUAAAAUUUAAAGAAAAAUUACAUACGGAGAAUAAGUCAACAGUAGAAUUAGCUGUAAAAAUUCAAGAGGCAUUCCAUCCAUUUUACAAUUUAUGCCACGGAAUUUUAGGAGGAAUGUCACUUACACUAUGUUUGUUGGUUGUGAGCAUUGGAUGGACCAGAGUAGAGAUAGAAGAAUUUAUUAAUGUAUAUGACAACUUUUCAAGACCUGCACAAUCAAUGUUUUAUUUUCUUACUGUGGUUUGUGUUAUUUCGUCACUUGAUAGGUGUGAUGUUGCACAAAUGUGUGGGCUCCAUGCAAGGAAGUUGUGCCUUCAUCAUUUUCCAGACAUUUUGCUGCUGCUACUGUAUUUGUGCACUUUGGUAACAACUGUUGUCACCAGCUACUGGGAUGAACAACUUGCCUACCACCAUCAUAAUUCAACUGGCAUGUGGAAAGAUGAUGCUGACAUGAAGGCAAGUCUUUCCCUGUGGCGGAAUUUGCACUUUGGGAGGUGCAUUGGUGCAGUUAGUAGUUGGAUCAUUGUGUCACUCUACCCUGACCAUGGAUUACUUCACUCACGUUUAAUCAGCACCAUAAAACUGCAGUUCAGGCCUGCAGUUGAUAUUACGUCAUCUUAACAUCACCAUGUACAGAGUGUGGAGAUUGGAACACAGCAUGCCAACAGAGCAUGCAAGUGCAGCUUAUCGCCAUCUUUCAGACUUGAGAAGACUCAAAACUUUGUAGUGCAGUGACUACAGGCAAGUGGUGGUGAUAUGGACUUGGAGCAACAGUGUGGCAGGAUGUUGGCAUGGGUUCCUCCAGGAGAACUACACAACAAAAAGACCAUAGGAUUGUUCAACUGCCUCUAACAAACAGGCAGACUACAGCAGCUGAAAUCAGGGCAGAGGUUACAGACAUUGUCACCAUAAUAUCUCAGGAACCCGUAACGGAAGCUGGGUUGAGGUCUUGAGAGUUGUCAUGUGUCAUUUACUACUGGCACCAUACUACUUAUAAGGUGCAGAACCAGAGUCGGCUGGCAUGUUUAGGGGAAUUCUGUGCUUUAAUGACUCUUGCUUAUGUUUGUAGCAGUCAGAUUGAUGGGGAGUUACUGCAGAUGACCUGAUGAAAGACCACAGAAAGCAGCAUUUCUUGAGGCCCAAACCUCAAGUCAUGGAUAAUGGUGUGGGGAGAUAUUAAAUUUGACAGAAGAAUUUGAUUUAGUAAUUGUUAAAGUGAGACUGAAUGGUAAACCCUGUCGUCAUACCCUUCACGACUGGGAUACCAAGUGGCAUAUUCCAGUAGAAUAACAAAAGACCCUACACUGCAUUUCACAUCACAGACACUUUGAAGAAUGUACGAAUCUUGGUUGGCCUGCCCAGUCUACUGAUUUGUCACCCUUACAGCAUGUGUGGGAUGUGAUGGAAAGGUGUAUACAUUCAUACCAGCCUCCAGCCAGCAAUCUUAAUGAACUUACCCAUCAUAGCGUUUCAGGUAUGGCAAGAAAUUCUCAGAGAUGCCAUUUGGAGGCAAUUUGCUUUCAGCCACAACAAAUACAAGAGGAAAAGUGUAUCAUGCCCAUGAGGGUCACACAUCGUACUGAUCAUAAUGAUGGACAUCGGUUCCACAUGGAAUGAAAAUUUCAUCAUUUACUACACAUUACGUGAUGAACAUCUCCACAGAGUUGGAUAAACAUCAGACUAGUGCUUCAUGGUGUAACACUUUCCACAUCUGUCUGUGUGUUAGCAAAUUGACAAUUUGUUGUCGUAUAUCAAAUGGCUUGAAAAUUAAAUAAUCAUGGAAUGCUACAAUAGAGGAGGGAAAGGAGGCAGUAUAUGGUUGCACAAGAAUAAAUAAGAGAGAAAAAGGGCAUGUGAGAUACUGUGAUGGUGGCUAGCACCCUCUUCCACUAUCAUAAGAGGAAAAGGUGUACUUUAAAAAGUCCUGGUGAAAAAUUACUAUCAUAAUUAGAUAGUAAUUUGGAAAACAAAUAAUGGACUAGAAAGAAUAUCCAGAUGCUAGUAUGGAUAGAGGUCAUAUGGUAGUGGUGACACAUAACAUACUGAAAUUCAGAAGAAUAAAGUAGAAGUAUUUCAGAUGCCUGGACCAUCUAUCAGUGAUCUCCAUGCUAAGUAAAAAUGUUAGAUGUAUUCCAGUGGAAAGUUUAUUUUUAACAUUUUUGUCCAUUCUGUGUAUUACGACACUUUUGACAAACUCCGCUGUGUUCUGAGGAGACAAACUGUCACUGUAGGAAUCUAGAAAGGCAAGCAAAAGAUUAGUUUACACAAGUGCUUUUUAAAUAAAUAUAAUUUACUCAACUCGUGCAAAAGAUGGCAGACUUAGCAGCCAUAGACAGAGGCCCGAAUGGGCGAGCCCAUAGGUGCACUGAAUAUUUGCCGGUAGAGCUAUCGACAACUCAGUGUAAAGUUCAGCACCAAUUAGAGACAUGGAAGCACUCAUGACUCGAAGAUUGGUGCCCAGGUGCCCACUGCUUAUAACACUAUCCUAGCAGUCUUCAUUGGGUGGUGCCGGCAGCCUGGCGGGUCUUCGUUAGUGACGAUGUUCAAAGCGCAGCUCGUGGCACCUGCAGGACUCUUCGAGGCACUGGCUCCAACACUACUGAUAAGCCUCGAUACUACAAAUGGCUGUGACUUUGAAUGUGAUUUUUCAUGGUGAUUGGGAGGUUAAAGUGAGUUUUUAAUGGAAACCUCUGUCAUUAAGAUUUGAAAAGAUUGACUCAUUUUGUGUAUAAAAUGAUGCAUUCUGAACAAAGAAAACAAGUUCUUGUAGACCAUGCUCAGUUUGAAAGGCAGUGAAAAUAGAUGGGGUGCCAGCAUUAUAUAGUAACUUAGUUUAUGUACAUUAUAGUCUGGUUUACUUACUAAAUUUGAAUCGUAUGAAGUAAUUAUUAAUUACCACUACAUGAUUAUAUUGCGGUAGAUCAUUGCACAGUCUAUUAGGGUGCCCUCGUACACUGCCACUGGCAGAGUGGAUGAGAAGAUGGUCAUAUGGGGACACAGCGCUUGACUCUUGCAAAGCAUGUGAUGGGAGAAAGAUGUCACUAUGACUGCAUGCUGGAACACUGUUCUUGUUUCAUUGCUAAUUUGAAUGAUCAGCUUGUCAAAACUGCAACUCUGUUUUGCUUUAUUAGGUUGAAUCACAUAGCUACAAUAACUGACCAGCCUCCAAAUGGAAUCAUAGACAUGAUUACAAUGUUAAGAGAGUUCCAGGGUGUUUACAGCCCCAUGGCCAUGUUUUAUGCUGGAUGUUUUUGUAACAGACGACACACUAACUCAAGAGGUUCCCACAUCAGUGGUGUUAUCAGAUGAAACCACAUUUACAAAUACUGGUGAAGUAAACAGGAACAACUGUCAUAACUUGUCAGAUGCCCAUCUACACUGGUACAGAACUGUUGACCACCAACAACAUUGAUGCCCCAAAAGUUAGUAUGGAAUUGUCAAUGGCUAUCUGAUCGAUCCCUACUUUUUUAAUGGUACUGUUAAUCAAUAUAAUUUUUUAGUGAUCAUUUACCUGGCAUACUUCAAGAUGUUGACUUAGAGAUGAGACAAAGAAUAUGAGUGCAAUUGGAUGAUGCCGCACCACAUUACUCACAGUGGAUUGGACGUGGCGGUCUCAUUCCGUGUCUGCUUGUUCACCCGAUCUAACUUCCCCUUCCCUGAUUUUUAUCUUUGGGAACAGUUGAAAAAUAUUUAUUAUGAGCAGCAACACAUUGACAAGAGAAAACAUGAUGGAAUUUAUCUGGAGAGCUUUUGUAGCCAUUCCAUGAGAUGUCCUGCUUUCCACUGUGAGAUAUUUCUUAAGGAGGAUUAAUUUGUGCAUUGAAACAAAUGGUGGUCACUUUGAGCAUAUACGCAAUGGUUAAUUUCCACGUACAAAGUGAAAGGUAUGAGAACUCUUUAAAUUGAUCACUCCAAAGAAAGAGAGUUGAGAGGACACUCAGUGACUUGUAAAUCAAUAAUCUACAUUUUAUUUACGUUUGUUCUGUCUUGCAAAUGUCAAAAUAACAUUUAUACGUUAUGAUGUAUUUAUUUUUGUCAGUACACAUGAUAAUUAAAACUUAAAAUGUAAACCUCUCUACGCUCUUUCCAAAUCCAACAUCAUAAAUAGGGGUGUCCGUGAAACAAAGCUCAACCUUUGAUAAUUGCCUUAAGAUCAUAAUUAUUGGUAAUGAUACAUGACCCAUUAUGCCCCUUCCAGUUUGUAUCUAAGUUUGUAUUUUACUGUAUCUCUCUUCUAUUCCAAGUUAAU